CAGCAGCCGCGGUAAUACGUAGGGGGGCCAGCGUUGCUCGGAAUGACUGGGCGUAAAGGGUCCGUAGGCGGUGCGACAAGUCGGAAGUGAAAUCCCGGAGCUCAACUCCGGGGCUGCUUCCGAAACUGCCGCGCUAGAGUGCGGGAGAGGGGAGUGGAAUUGCCGGUGUAGCGGUGAAAUGCGUAGAUAUCGGCAGGAACACCGGUGGCGAAGGCGGCUCCCUGGACCGCAACUGACGCUGAGACACGAAAGCUGGGGGAGCAAACAGGAUUAGAUACCCUGGUAGUCCCAGCCCUAAACGAUCAGAACUAGGCGUGGGCCCCGUUCGGGGUCCGUGCCGCAGCUAACGCGUUAAGUUCUGCGCCUGGGGAGUACGGUCGCAAGGUUGAAACUCAAAGGAAUUGAC
This 406-nucleotide ribosomal RNA is filed under the name uncultured Acidobacterium sp. RNAcentral's name for it is "bacterial SSU rRNA". It matches the Rfam family "Bacterial small subunit ribosomal RNA", at positions 509 to 914 of the family's 1533-position model. Lineage: Bacteria; Pseudomonadati; Acidobacteriota; Terriglobia; Terriglobales; Acidobacteriaceae. The record is from RNAcentral.